Molecule: small RNA, 345 nt
Filed under: Histoplasma capsulatum
Lineage: Eukaryota; Fungi; Ascomycota; Eurotiomycetes; Onygenales; Ajellomycetaceae
Also listed under: 1 other name
Description: hypothetical RNA
Source: RNAcentral
UCACCCUCUCAUGUGCUCUUGUAUAUCUACAAAACACCUCUCUCCUUGCAAUCCCACUCCACACUUGUGUAGUCUCUAACAAUUCCUCCACAUAACCUCUAACAUUCUUCCACUCCACACUCCACUGCAGUGCAACCCCUGAUAUUCUUCUGUCCCAAUCCUCCUUCUAUAAGAACCCCCUCAUACAACCCCUUCUUCUGAUCUUCUUUCUCUUUCUUUCCUUAAUCGAUUUGUAAACUGUUAUCAGAAUAGUGUCAAGUCUGUUGAUAUUGCUGUUGGAACGGAUCAUACAAACUGCACAGGCGGUACGAACGGUUUAAUCUGCAACAUCGGUAACAUCUGCUU